AAGAAAUUAGUUAAAUUAAUAAUACAGGUUUGUCAAGCCUGAGUUACUAUGUAAUUAGUAUUUUUU
RNAcentral lists this transfer RNA (66 nucleotides) under Solemya velum (Atlantic awning clam). Its description in RNAcentral is "tRNA-Asp". Lineage: Eukaryota; Metazoa; Mollusca; Bivalvia; Solemyida; Solemyidae. The record is from RNAcentral.